This 207-nucleotide long non-coding RNA is filed under the name Elaeis guineensis (African oil palm). RNAcentral's name for it is "long non-coding RNA (EGUI_LNC007429)". The record is from RNAcentral. Lineage: Eukaryota; Viridiplantae; Streptophyta; Magnoliopsida; Arecales; Arecaceae.
AAGGGAUGCCUGGCAUGUCUGAGGCAGAUCAAGUGAAGACAUCUACAUUCUUUCUCAAAAAGUUGAUCAGUUUCUUCCAUAGUUCGUCACUUAAUGAAGAUCUGAUCUAGAUGGUUUUAGUCGGAUCCUCAUUGUUAAGGGGUACUGAGAUAAGUUGCUCUGUAGGUUCUUCCCGACUUUCUUCUUCUCUCUGAUCCAGUUCAUCAU